Molecule: unclassified non-coding RNA, 228 nt
Filed under: soil metagenome
Description: partial contains small subunit ribosomal RNA, internal transcribed spacer 1, and 5.8S ribosomal RNA
Source: RNAcentral
UCUCCGUUGGUGAACCAGCGGAGGGAUCAUUACCGAGUUUUCAACUCCCAAACCCCUGUGAACAUACCUAUCGUUGCCUCGGCGGGAGAGCCCCGGGCGCUGGCGCAAGCCUCGCACCGGUACCAGGCGCCCGCCGGAGGACCCAAGCAAACCCUUGAAUUCUAAAGAAUCUUCUGAGUACCAUAAGCAAAUAAAUUAAAACUUUCAACAACGGAUCUCUUGGUUCUG